AGGUUAAGUGAAUAAGGGCGCACGGAGGAUGCCUUGGCACUAGGAGUCGAAGAAGGACGCGACAAACGGCGAAACGCCUCGGGGAGCUGUAAGUGAGCUUUGAUCCGGGGAUAUCCGAAUGGGGAAACCCGCUAGUGGUUAUACGCUAGCACCAUAUGGUGAAUACAUAGCCAUAUAGGAGACAGACCCAGGGAACUGAAACAUCUAAGUACCUGGAGGAAAAGAAAGAAAAAUCGAUUCCCGUAGUAGCGGCGAGCGAAGUGGGAAGAGCCCAAACCGGCACUAGCCGGGGUUGUAGGACCUUCAUAAUUGACAAAUCAUGAUAGCCGAGUGGUCUGGGAAGGCCAACCGGAGAGGGUGAGAGUCCCGUAGGUGAAAUUGUGAAAUGCAUGGAAGGAAUCCUGAGUACGGCGGGACACGUGGAAUCCCGUCGGAAUCAACGAGGACCAUCUCGUAAGGCUAAAUACUACCUAGUGACCGAUAGUGAACCAGUACCGUGAGGGAAAGGUGAAAAGAACCCCGGAAGGGGAGUGAAAGAGAACCUGAAACCGUGUGCCUACAAAUAGUCAGAGCCCGUUAAUGGGUGAUGGCGUGCCUUUUGUAGAAUGAACCGGCGAGUUACGAUAUCGUGCGAGGUUAAGCAGAAGAUGCGGAGCCGUAGCGAAAGCGAGUCUGAAUAGGGCGAAGAGUACGAUGUUGUAGACCCGAAACCGUGUGAGCUAGCCAUGAGCAGGCUGAAGGUCAGGUAACACUGACUGGAGGGCCGAACCAGGGCACGUUGAAAAGUGCUUGGAUGACUUGUGGCUAGGGGUGAAAUUCCAAUCGAACACGGAUAUAGCUGGUUCUCUCCGAAAUAGCUUUAGGGCUAGCCUCGAUGGCAAGUCUACUGGAGGUAGAGCACUGAAUGGGUGAUGGCCCCACCUCGGGGUACUGAUCUCAAUCAAACUCCGAAUGCCAGAUAGAUAUCAUCGGGAGUCAGACUGUGGGUGAUAAGGUCCAUGGUCAAAAGGGAAAGAGCCCAGACCGCCAGCUAAGGCCCCCAAGUGUCCGUUAAGUGGAAAAGGAUGUGGAGAUGCACAGACAACUAGGAGGUUGGCUUAGAAGCAGCCAUCCUUUAAAGAGUGCGUAAUAGCUCACUAGUCGAGUGACUCUGCGCCGAAAAUGUACCGGGGCUAAACGGACCGCCGAAGCUGCGGAUUGACACUUAGGUGUCAGUGGUAGGAGAGCGUUCUAACAGCGGAGAAGCAGUACCGGAAGGAGCUGUGGAGCGGUUAGAAGUGAGAAUGCCGGUGUGAGUAGCGAAAGAUAGGUGAGAAUCCUAUCCAUCGAAAGCCUAAGGUUUCCAGGGGAAGGCUCGUCCGCCCUGGGUAAGUCGGGACCUAAGGUGAGGCCGAAAGGCGUAGCCGAUGGACAACAGGUUGAUAUUCCUGUACCACUUAUUAAACUGAUGGAGUGACGGAGAAGGCUAAGUUGAGCGUGUUAAUGGAUUCACGUGUAAGCAGUGAGGUGGUCAUGUAGGCAAAUCCGCAUGGCAUAACAUUGAGCUGUGAUGCCGAAGCCGUAUGGCGAAGUCAACUGAUGUCACGCUUCCAAGAAAAGCUUCUAGGGUUAAUUUAGUAAGUGCCCGUACCGAUAACCGACACAGGUAGGCGAGGAGAGAAUCCUAAGAUGAGCGAGAGAACUCUUGUUAAGGAACUCGGCAAAAUGACCCCGUAACUUCGGGAGAAGGGGUGCUUGUGAAAGCAAGCCGCAGUGAAUAGGCCCAGGCGACUGUUUAUCAAAAACACAGGUCUCUGCUAAACCGCAAGGUGAUGUAUAGGGGCUGACGCCUGCCCGGUGCUGGAAGGUUAAGAGGAGAGGUUAGCGCAAGCGAAGCUUUGAAUUGAAGCCCCAGUAAACGGCGGCCGUAACUAUAACGGUCCUA
This 1924-nucleotide ribosomal RNA is filed under the name Blautia wexlerae. RNAcentral's name for it is "partial 23S ribosomal RNA". It matches the Rfam family "Bacterial large subunit ribosomal RNA", at positions 1 to 1953 of the family's 2925-position model. The record is from RNAcentral. Lineage: Bacteria; Bacillati; Bacillota; Clostridia; Lachnospirales; Lachnospiraceae.